CGUCUCAGGCUUCUGCCAUGCAUCAGCAUGCAUCGGCCAUAGACAGUGAUAACUGAUUGUAAAGUUUUAUGGAAAGGCGCGAAACCUUGACGGAGCAUCAAAACGCUGAAGAGGAGCAAAGAUGGAAGAGCGGCCGCUGACAUGGAGGCUGCCUAUAAGGCUGCAGCGAUCAGAGCAGCAUGGUGUGAUUGCUGGAACAGAGUCAUAGGCCAGUGCAGCCAAAUCCCAUGCCUGGAAACCGACUCACGCAAAUGCUCUGCAGAAGCUCUGCUCCCAAGGAGGUGGAGCAUAGCUGAGCAUAGUAACUUCCGGAAAGAGCACGGAAACAGCAGAAAGGAGAGACGAGCUUUACUGUGGAUAAACCUGACACACACUCAGCCAGGUCCUAAAGGUCAACACCAUGGUAUUACGUCAUGUGCAUUGGAUGUGCACUUGCUGAUUUGAUGAAAUUGACACUUUACCGUGUGACCUUGUCCCAAAACUCAAAACCCCAGUCUAAUUAUGAGGAAGACAUCAGAAAAAUCUCACUGGAAGCAUAUUCCUCAAAAUGCCAGAGCAUCAGUUUUCAAACGUGCAAAGGUGAUCAAAAGCAAGACAAGACCAAGGGACUGUUAAAACCAAGAAGAACCUCAGGAGACAUGACUCCUAAAUUAAUAUGGUACCCUUGACGGGAUCCAGGAAACAGAAAAUUGACAGGUGAGAACUAAGGAGGUGGGAAUACAGUGUAAACUUCAGUGACUAAGGAUGUAUCAGUGCUACUUCAUUAACUGUGAUAAGUGUACCAUAGCCAUAGAAGAUGUUAAUCGUGGAGGACCCCGGGUGUGACAUGUAUGCAAGCACUCUGUAUUAUGUUUGCAAUAAUUUUGUCACUCUAAAACUGUUCCCCAAUAAAAGUUCAUUAAAACUG
This is a non-coding RNA of Odocoileus virginianus texanus, 907 nucleotides long. NCBI's taxonomy places the organism in Eukaryota, Metazoa, Chordata, Mammalia, Artiodactyla, Cervidae. The record is from RefSeq and is a predicted model, not a curated record.